Long non-coding RNA from Fukomys damarensis (Damara mole-rat), 618 nucleotides. RefSeq lists it as uncharacterized. The record is from RefSeq and is a predicted model, not a curated record. Lineage: Eukaryota; Metazoa; Chordata; Mammalia; Rodentia; Bathyergidae. The transcript has 7 exons.
GGGUUCCCGCUGCUCUGGAGUCGGGAUAAGUCAAACCCUUUGGUUUCCUGCCUGUUCAGAUCCAGACAGAGAUGAGAGAAUCGAGACAAGGAAAUCAUAUGCACUGUCCAGUCUAAUACAAUUGCAGGAACAAUCUCAUUGCAUUUGUUGACAAAGAGCUCUCUGUGCAAGCAGGAGAGAAGGCAUGGAUGUGUGAGGGCUGGUGAGUUAAUCAGGAGAGAGGGGCUGCAGCUUGACCUGAGGAGGGACAGCAAAAAAGGACACAAGUCUUGGUGUAUUUUGGAAAUGGAGUCAGAACUUUGCGAUGGAUUGGCUCCAGAGGAAAGAAGUGCAUCUUGUAUACUGCAGUAAAUAAAGAAAUGUAGGCUGGAGGUGUUCAGAAGCCUUUACAGGGCAUUUCCCUGGACAUGUUGUGUGCAAUGCAAGCCUGGCAUACUUAUGUGAGACGCGCAGAACAUAUUUGGAAGCAGCACACGGGUUCGAGAGCUUCUCAUACUAUUAAUGAGAAUAAUGAAAUAAGAUGCAAGAAGGCUCAAUGUCCAAUCAUGAGCCCAAAGGUUUUCUCCUCCACUUUGCUGUAUUUCAUCAGGGAUUUGUUUCUGUGCAAUGAAAGGGAGU